AGUCUUAUAGUCAACAAUGACAUUAAAUUGCAAAUUUAAAAGUAGGGAUUCCUUAAGGCUU
RNAcentral lists this transfer RNA (61 nucleotides) under Helophorus sp. BMNH 724835. RNAcentral's name for it is "tRNA-Cys". Lineage: Eukaryota; Metazoa; Arthropoda; Insecta; Coleoptera; Helophoridae. The record is from RNAcentral.